UAAAGUCGUAACAAGGUUUCCGUAGGUGAACCUGCGGAAGGAUCAUUA
Molecule: non-coding RNA, 48 nt
Filed under: Meyerozyma guilliermondii
Lineage: Eukaryota; Fungi; Ascomycota; Pichiomycetes; Serinales; Debaryomycetaceae
Also listed under: 9 other names
Description: partial 18S ribosomal RNA
Rfam family: Eukaryotic small subunit ribosomal RNA
Source: RNAcentral